GGGGUUGUGACUCAGUGGGAGAGUGCUUGCCUCUCAUGCAUGAGGCACUGGGUUCAAUUCUCAGCACCACA
RNAcentral lists this transfer RNA (71 nucleotides) under Marmota monax (woodchuck). RNAcentral describes it as "tRNA.Glu". It matches the Rfam family "tRNA". From Rfam's summary of the family: Transfer RNA (tRNA) molecules are approximately 80 nucleotides in length. Their secondary structure includes four short double-helical elements and three loops (D, anti-codon, and T loops). Lineage: Eukaryota; Metazoa; Chordata; Mammalia; Rodentia; Sciuridae. The record is from RNAcentral.